RNAcentral lists this ribosomal RNA (405 nucleotides) under uncultured bacterium. Its description in RNAcentral is "partial 16S ribosomal RNA". It matches the Rfam family "Bacterial small subunit ribosomal RNA", at positions 28 to 526 of the family's 1533-position model. The record is from RNAcentral.
GAUGAACGCUGGCGGCGUGCCUAAUACAUGCAAGUCGAGCGAAGCGGGGACGGGUGAGUAAUACAUGGCUAACCUCCUCUAAGACUGGGAUAACUUCGGGAAACCGGAGCUAAACCGGAUACGUAUAGAUUGAUCCGCGCCGCAUGAUCUGGUUGGUAAGGUAACGGCUUACCAAGGCAAAGAUGCGUAGCCGACCUGAGCGGAUGAUGGGCCACUGUGGAAAGAAGACACGGUCCAAAAGCCUACGGGAGACAGCAGUAGGAAAUCUUCCGCAAUGAGCGAAAGCGUGACGGGGCCACGCCGCGUGAGUGAUAAAGGUCUUCGGAUCGUAAAACUCUGUUAUUAGGGAAGCGGUACCUAAUCAAAAAGCAACGGCUAACUACGUGCCAGCAGCCGCGGUAAUUC